This 509-nucleotide antisense RNA is filed under the name Streptomyces griseoaurantiacus M045. Its description in RNAcentral is "Saccharopolyspora sRNA 350". It matches the Rfam family "Saccharopolyspora sRNA 350". Lineage: Bacteria; Bacillati; Actinomycetota; Actinomycetes; Kitasatosporales; Streptomycetaceae. The record is from Rfam by way of RNAcentral.
CGGGCCGUGUACUCCCAGAUCGCCUCCGGGUCCAGGAGCGUCUGGUCGCCGAAGUAGGCGCCGUCGGCGAGGACUCCGAGGACCACGUCGCCCCCGUAGGGGCCGCUGCCGAUCUUCUCGACCUUGCCGUGCGCGAUGAGGAACACCUCGUCGACCUGGCUGCCGAAGGAGGCGAUGAUCUGGCCCGCCUCGAUCUCGCGCUGCCUGCAGCGCUGGGCGAGUUCGCCGAGCACCUCCUCGUCCUCGUAGGACCGCAGGGCCGGCAGUUCGCCGAGCUCCGCGGGGAUGACACUGACCUGGUCACCUGUCUUCACGAAGGUGACACGGCCGUCGCCGACCGCAUAGCUGAGCCUGCGGUUCACCCGGUACGUGCCGCCCUGGAGAUCCACCCACGGCAGCAUCCGCAGCAGCCAGCGCGAGCUGAUCUCCUGCAUCUGGGGCACGGACUUGGUGGUCGUGGCCAGGUUCCGCGCGGCGGAUGUGCCGAGACUCUGCUGGGGACGGGUCUG